This is a non-coding RNA of Schistosoma curassoni, 45 nucleotides long. The record is from Rfam. NCBI's taxonomy places the organism in Eukaryota, Metazoa, Platyhelminthes, Trematoda, Strigeidida, Schistosomatidae.
AUCCAGCUGACUAGUUCGGAAUAGAACGAAACGCGCGUCCUGAAU